RNAcentral lists this non-coding RNA (30 nucleotides) under Rattus norvegicus (Norway rat). Lineage: Eukaryota; Metazoa; Chordata; Mammalia; Rodentia; Muridae. The record is from RNAcentral.
UACCUUCUUUAUAAUACUUCUUAGUUCCAU